This 2208-nucleotide long non-coding RNA is filed under the name Citrus sinensis (sweet orange). Its description in RNAcentral is "long non-coding RNA (CSIN_LNC003948)". Lineage: Eukaryota; Viridiplantae; Streptophyta; Magnoliopsida; Sapindales; Rutaceae. The record is from RNAcentral.
GGACAUCAUGACAAAAAGUGAGGCCACAUUAAAAUAUAAGAACAGACCCCCAAAAGUUGGUUGGUUUAUUAAUUACUGGUUCUUCAGCUCUUAUAUGCAUGCCUCAAAGGAGUUGCCACUCUUCUCAUCAUCAAGCAUUUGAACAACUUGAGAAACGCCUGCCGCAAUCUCCUUCUGAAUAACACCAUCCGGCAUGUCGAAGGUCCUCCUUCUCAUGGAAAGGGAUCUACCUGCAGGCUGAGGGUCCACCACAUCAAGCAUUGCUUCCAGCUCAUCCACCAUUGACCUCUUUGCAGCUCGCACCAUCAGAUCAGCUCCCUAAAAUUGGCAAAGCCAUCAGCAUAACCCCAGCAGCAUAAGCAUUAUUGGUUGGCCAAUUGAGUAUUAAUCAAUCUAAGCCUCUAGCAAUUAGUUAAUUUGCCAGGAACACUUGCUUCCUGAUCAUAAGGCAGGUUAACAAUUAUCCUAAAUGGAAACCAUAAUGGGCAGACGCUAUGCCCAACUGCAUAUGGAUUAAAGGCAUAUCACAGGGUAAAAGUGAAAAAAAAAACGAAGCUCGUGAAUUUCGAGUAGUAAGUCACUCUUGAAGACUACCAUCUUGUCAAAUACUGAUUUAGAAGAGAUAAGAGCUCCUUUUACCUCAAUAGCAUCAACGGUCAGGAGUAGAACAAUAAUUUUCUCCGAAAACCUUUGUCGCUCUUCAGCAUCUCGGCUCACUAUCUGGCGGUAGGAGAAGUUAUUGAACAAUGCUCUAAUCUCCUUCAACUUGGUCUUGGCAACAGCAAGAUCCCUAAGGGCACGAAGAGCCUGAGACCUACGAAUCAGAUAAGCUCUGAAAGUUAUCUGAAUCAUCAUUGCAGCAUCUUGAGGAGACAAUUCCUUUUGCUUCCCCUUGUUGUUUCUAACAGAUCCAAAUCUUUUGGCAAAGGCCUACAUCCACAAGCAAAAAGGUAAAAAAAAAAAUAAAAAAGCACGUCAGAAUGAAUUCAAGAAAACAUGCAAGCUACAAAAGUAAAAUAAAUCAGGCUUUAAGGAUAUUGUUAAGCUCAUGAAUCAUGAUGAGUUAAUGAAAAUAAAAGACAGACGGGAAUAUAACUUUGCUCUGAUGAUCAGACUCUAAACAGGUUGACAUGUUGCAUUUUAGGGGAGAUGCCUCGUGAUAAAAUAGAGAAAGAGAAAAAAGCACAAAAACAACAGGUAGCAAUGACCUCCCUAGUGAAAACAUAACCACAUGCCUAUUGCCCAUUUAAAUUAAUAGUUACAAUUUAGGAAUAGGUGAACUAAAUCUGCACUCUGUCAAUUGAAAUCAGUAAAUGGACCUGAGCUGCACAGGACAAGUAUUGCAGAGAGUAACAUACCGAGAACAAGGUGCAGAGAGUAACAUACCAAGAACAAGGCCAGAAACAAAUGCUUGGUUUUUUAAAAAAAAAAGGAAAAAAGGUAGUAAAAACAUAACUUCUUGCCAAAUAUGCUGAUACAUGUCUCCUUUUCAGGAUCUGUUUUAAUAAAACAUUAAUUUGACAUAAAAUUUCCUGAAAAUUUUCAAUAUUCCUCCCAUUUACACAUUAACUAGUUAGCUCCAAAGAAGGGCAGGGAUCUUUACUGGGAGUGCAUUAAUAUUCAAGUUAAAGAGAAGCCGAAGUAUGAAAGUACUCAUGACAUGAAAAUUAAAGCAAGAUCAUCAAAAAGUUUAUGGAUUCAAAUUCAUCAAUGCUCUAUGAGCUAAAAUUUUAAGCUAGAAAAUUGAUAAACUUGCACCCACAAAUUUGCAAUUUCAUAGCAAAUAUCCGAUGUGUAACUGUAAACAUCAAGUAACAGUUCAUUAUUAAAAUAAAUAAUCGUAGCCGAAACAAUCAACGUCACAAAAUUCCCUACUAUUCUUAAUCAUGGUCAUUGUCACUCACGUUUCAGACUUCAAUCAUACCCAACAGAUAGCGAAAGCAUUUUAGUUAAAACUGACCCCACAAAACAAAGAAAAUCAAACACAAAUUCUACACUAAAAAAUAAAAAUAAUAAAAAUAUUAUUUAUAAUAAUAAUUACCCAAAUACCUGUCUCAAAACAACAGCCCCAUGAUCAGCAGCAGGCUCUUCGAUCUCCACCACACGUGUCGCACUCUCACAUUUCUUCUUCUCCUUCUUCUUCUCUUUCUCUUUCUUUUCGGAUUUGCUACCCUCGCCUGCAUCAACAGUUGAUGCUACGAAAGUGUA